Molecule: transfer RNA, 75 nt
Filed under: Afipia carboxidovorans OM5
Lineage: Bacteria; Pseudomonadati; Pseudomonadota; Alphaproteobacteria; Hyphomicrobiales; Nitrobacteraceae
Also listed under: 1 other name
Description: tRNA-Und (NNN) (tRNA-Und-NNN-2-1)
Source: RNAcentral
GCGCCGGGUGUGAGGGGUCUCGAACGAGAAUCAGACUACGAAUCUGCAGAGGUUCGAAUCCUUUCGGGCGCGCCA